Long non-coding RNA from Rhincodon typus (whale shark), 1149 nucleotides. RefSeq lists it as uncharacterized. Lineage: Eukaryota; Metazoa; Chordata; Chondrichthyes; Orectolobiformes; Rhincodontidae. The transcript has 2 exons. The record is from RefSeq and is a predicted model, not a curated record.
AACUGCGCUGAACUUCCUCUUUACUGACACUUUAAGUUCUUUAACUCCUGAGAAAUGAGAUAGGAAAGAAGCUGUAGUUGGCUGGGACGCUUUGUGUUUUGAUGUAUUAACUGGACGUAUAAUAAACAGUGUGAAUAAAUAGCGUUGUUGCACUGUUGAGAUGAUCAGUGGAACUCUAUUUGCUGUGGCCCUGUCUCUCUGUGUUGCUUGAGGUGCUGUGUUGAAUCCAGUGCUAAUUUAGUUUCCAACAGUCAGUCAGACAGUGAGAUGACGGUACACCCAGAAGAACACCAAGCUACAAGAUGUGAUCGUUCUUUGGUAACAACAGCUCCUGGGGAAAAGAAAGGACAAGACAAUAACUCAUUCCAGAAAUAAUUCACCAGGAAACUCUUCCAACUUUCCUGGUUCAUUUCAACCUUCCAGAGAACCCUCCAAGAGCAGCUUCAUUCUGAACUUCACAAACAUGCAGCUCAGAGACACUGCCAUCUCUACUUGCAAUGUGUAAGGCUACACCCAAACAAUUACUGCCCCUCAAUCUAAUCUAUAAAACCAUAAGGUAUAGGUGCAGAAUUAGGCCAUUCGGCCCAUUGAGCCUGCUCCACCAUUCAAUCAUAGCUGAUAGGUUUCGCAAUCCCGUCUCCUUGAACACUUCCAAUAACCCUUCAUCCCCUUACUAAUCAAGAACUUAUCUAUCUCUGUCUUUAAUACACUCAAUGACUCUGUGGCAAUGUGUUUCACAGAUUCAUCACCCUGUGGCUGAAGAAAUUCCUCCUCAUCUCAGUUGCCAUUGUGGAAUGUCACCAGACUGUUAUCUCCUUAUAUGACUCCAUGUGAGAAACCCUGGAAAGUUUCCCUCUUUUAAAGGCACUAUCAAACUGCAAGUUGUUGUUUAAUCAGUUUAGAGCCAAUCCACAUAUCAGCUUCUAUUUUUGACCGAAUAUGGGUUUCAAAAGUUGCAGGUAGUGACUGGCAAAUGAUAUCAUCGACAAAACAGAACAAUAAUGGCUUCCUGUGGUUUGGGCGUGUUUUCUUCUUGUUUAUAUCGUUGUCAAUUAUUUUUAACAGUCUGUUCAGCAGAUAUUUAAAAUUGCACUUGAUUUCAUGCAAUAACCAAUUGCUGAAUAAAAAUCUAAUUAUCUGACCAUUAAA